GAUGAACGCUGGCGGCGUGCCUAAUACAUGCAAGUCGAGCGAACGGACGAGAAGCUUGCUUCUCUGAUGUUAGCGGCGGACGGGUGAGUAACACGUGGAUAACCUACCUAUAAGACUGGGAUAACUUCGGGAAACCGGAGCUAAUACCGGAUAAUAUUUUGAACUGCAUGGUUCAAAAGUGAAAGACGGUCUUGCUGUAACUUAUAGAUGGAUCCGCGCUGCAUUAGCUAGUUGGUAAGGUAACGGCUUACCAAGGCAACGAUGCAUAGCCGACCUGAGAGGGUGAUCGGCCACACUGGAACUGAGACACGGUCCAGACUCCUACGGGAGGCAGCAGUAGGGAAUCUUCCGCAAUGGGCGAAAGCCUGACGGAGCAACGCCGCGUGAGUGAUGAAGGUCUUCGGAUCGUAAAACUCUGUUAUUAGGGAAGAACAUAUGUGUAAGUAACUGUGCACAUCUUGACGGUACCUAAUCAGAAAGCCACGGCUAACUACGUG
This 497-nucleotide ribosomal RNA is filed under the name uncultured bacterium. RNAcentral's name for it is "partial 16S ribosomal RNA". It matches the Rfam family "Bacterial small subunit ribosomal RNA", at positions 28 to 507 of the family's 1533-position model. The record is from RNAcentral.